Episyrphus balteatus (marmalade hoverfly) is the source of this 866-nucleotide long non-coding RNA. RefSeq lists it as uncharacterized. The record is from RefSeq and is a predicted model, not a curated record. NCBI's taxonomy places the organism in Eukaryota, Metazoa, Arthropoda, Insecta, Diptera, Syrphidae. The transcript has 3 exons.
AAAAUUAUUUUCAACUGAAAUAAAUUUAAAUAAAAAUUUAUAACAAAUUAUAUUCAUUUCACUUUAAACACUUUGGCAAAAUAUUUUUGGCCACUGCGUGAUUCGUCUGGUAUCCUGGGUCAUGAUAAAUUGCUGGCUAAGCGCGUUUUCAUGUUCACAAUCCAACAGGGGAGAUUGAUUGCAACUUGUAUCUGUGAAUAUGUCAGAGAAGUUUCUUUCAUACCUGAGUUGUCACGGUGACAUGCUGCUGGUCGCUCGGUACUGCCAACGUCGCACCGUGCUGACCCUCGUUAUUAAUUUCGCCCAUGUGCUCUGCGCUGGCACAGCUAACGUGAUGCGCAGUGGCUGGAAAGACAUUUUGCCAGUUAAAUUGCAAAUCGCUGAAGCCCACACCUUUCUGCUCCUGGGUCCUGAAAUGGUGACACUUUUUUUUCCGCCAAGCACCAAUGUCACAGUGUCAACGUUGAGGCAAUCGUCGUCCAUCGUCGUCGUCAUAACAUUAUAGGAGCUCACUUUCUGGGAACCAAGCUAUGACGAACGCUCCAUGUCUCAUACGAGGAGAGUAUGUAGAUAUAAUUUGCAUUUGAGUGGGCUCAGUGGAGUUUUUGAUGUUUAACAUGCAUUCAGAAGCCAACAGGUGCCAGAGCUGCGCCGCGAUCAAUCAUCGGAAAUCGAUUUUUAAUUAAGAACUCUUGUUGGUCGCGUUGACUGCACAUGAAUGGGUUAGUGUUCAGUUACAAUGAGUCGAAUGUGAGUAAAGAUUUUCGGGCGAAACGCUUUUUCGAGAAUUUCGUCUGGGCAUUUAGAAAUGGCAUGUUUGAAGAUUUUUGUUUCAGAAAUGAUUGAUUUAGGGAACCUUUGGGUUA